UGCUUAACACAUGCAAGUCGAGGGGCAGCGCGGGGCGGCAACGUCCUGGCGGCGACCGGCGGAAGGGUGCGUAACGCGUGAGCGACAUGCCCGUUGCCCGGGGACAACCGGUGGAAACGCCGACUAAUCCCCGAUGGGACGGAGGCCCUCAUGGGUCUCUGUUGAAAGUUACGGCGGCGACGGAUUGGCUCGCGUCCGAUUAGCUAGUUGGCGGGGUAACGGCCCACCAAGGCUACGAUCGGUAGGGGUUCUGAGAGGAAGGUCCCCACAAUGGAACUGAGACACGGUCCAUACUCC
Molecule: ribosomal RNA, 297 nt
Filed under: uncultured bacterium
Lineage: Bacteria
Description: partial 16S ribosomal RNA
Rfam family: Bacterial small subunit ribosomal RNA
Source: RNAcentral